CAGCUUUCAGACAGAUCACAUUCCUUCUUCCCUUUCCUCCCGAUUCUCUCUGUUCAUUGGAAACGUUUCGUUUCCUUCCGAUUUCUCUCAAAUUCAAUCGACUGCUUCGACUUUGCUUCUCCGCUCGCUUCUCUGGUUGUGUGGAGUUUUGCAUUUGAGAAUCUUGAAAUGAAUCUGUAAAAUGCAAUCUUUAUAAUGUUAUUAAGGUUUGAGCUCACCAUUACAACGUAAUGGCCUCAAACCCCAUGGAGGAGUCCUAAUCAUAAUGUAUCUUUGUUUUUUAACUGGGUACAAAUUGCAAUGGUGGUGGUUCUGCUAUUUGGGGUUUGAGGACUAAUUAUAAUGUAUAUAAUUUUCAUUUAGUUUGAGGACAAACUACAAUUGUAUAAUGGAUUGUAUUAUUACGGGUUC
Molecule: non-coding RNA, 411 nt
Organism: Carica papaya (papaya)
Lineage: Eukaryota; Viridiplantae; Streptophyta; Magnoliopsida; Brassicales; Caricaceae
Source: RefSeq, a predicted model, not a curated record